AUGGAAAAUUGCAUUUUUGGAAUUUGCAAUAAUGCGAUGGGCGAACGACGGGAAUUGAACCCGCGCAUGGUGGAUUCACAAUCCACUGCCUUGAUCCACUUGGCUACAUCCGCCCCUUAUCCAGCUAAAGGAUUUUUGCUUUUUUCCAUUGAUCAUUAUUCUAUUUAUUCUGACCUCCGUACUUCGAUCGAGAUAUUGGACAUAGAAUGCCACUCUUUAAAAAGGAAAAAAGGAGUAAUCAGCUGUGACACGAAAAAAACGAAUCCUUUUGUAGCUCAUCAUUUAUUGGCAAAGAUAGAAAAGGUCAAUAUGAAGGAGGAGAAAGAAACAAUAGUAACGUGGUCCCGGGCAUCUAGCAUUCUACCCACAAUGGUUGGCCAUACAAUCGCAAUUCAUAAUGGAAAGGAACAUAUACCUAUUUACAUAACAAAUCCAAUGGUAGGUCGCAAAUUGGGGGAACUGGUAAUCUAUUCCUUCAAAAAAAUCUUGGAGAUUAUGUAA
RNAcentral lists this transfer RNA (501 nucleotides) under Triticum aestivum (bread wheat). RNAcentral's name for it is "partial small subunit ribosomal RNA". The record is from RNAcentral. Lineage: Eukaryota; Viridiplantae; Streptophyta; Magnoliopsida; Poales; Poaceae.